UCAGUAUAUGAGAUUCCUAGGAUAUAUGC
This 29-nucleotide non-coding RNA is filed under the name Mus musculus (house mouse). Lineage: Eukaryota; Metazoa; Chordata; Mammalia; Rodentia; Muridae. The record is from RNAcentral.